Vespula vulgaris is the source of this 8758-nucleotide long non-coding RNA. RefSeq lists it as uncharacterized. The transcript is spliced from 6 exons. The record is from RefSeq and is a predicted model, not a curated record. NCBI's taxonomy places the organism in Eukaryota, Metazoa, Arthropoda, Insecta, Hymenoptera, Vespidae.
AAAUUUAAUCUAUCGUAUUAAUCAAAUUUUACAAACAUCGUUUCAAUCUUUCGAGAUAAUUUUACAAAUAAAAAAAAAAAAAAGGAAAAAAAGAAAUACAAUAAAGGAAAAAUGAAAAGAACAAAGUAGAAAGAAGUAGAGGGAAGCAUUUUAUAGCGGCCUGGUCGUUUCUCGACAGUGGUACAAACCGUUUAUGGGCAGACGUAAUGGUAAAAACACGACACUACCAGUUGGAUCUCGAAUAUUCUCAUAAAGACUUCUCUCUUUCUCCUUCACCUUCUCUCUCUUUUUUUCUCUCCGUCUCUCUGUCUGUCUUUCUCGCUCUUUUAAAAGCAUUCUCAUUGCUAUAAUACGCGAUUCGCGUUAGUGAGAAGCGAGAAGAUCAGAAGUACUACAAAGUCUUGUCUCGUGUAUUAGUAUGUAUGUGUGUGUGUUUGUAUAUAUGCAUGGGUUAGUGCGAUCGAGCUGGUGGAAAGGACCUCUUCUAUCCGUGUCAUUUGCAUCGAAAUGGCAAACGACGGCUCUCGCCGUCAGACAUGGCGCCAACGUUAUGCGAAAUUUCCUCUGCCUAUUUUCGCAAAUUCAAAUUUGCCAAUUUCCGGCGUGUAUCGUAUCGUAUCAUACCCCUCUCCCUUUCUCUCUCUCUCUCUCUCUCUCUCUCUCUCUCUCUCUCUCUCUCUCUCUCUCUCUCUCUCUCUCUCUCUCUCUCAUAUUCUCAUUCUCUGACGCAUUCAAGUUAGCAAUGGCCAUCGUUACUAUCGCUAACACCAACUCCAACUACUAUUGUCUUUAGAAAUAGAGAAUAGUUACUCUUGUGGCUUCCAGAUAGACUCUCUCGAAUAUUGUAGGAAAUUGGAAAAUAUUAUAAACGUCGAGAUUCAUUACGAGAACAGAAGGAAUUGUUUUCGCUCAACAAUAAACAGGACGAUUGUUCUACUAUUCGAAAAUAGACGACUUAACGAAAAUUUUGAAUUAUUUUAAAUAAUAAAAAAUUCAAUCUAUCUUUUACAUGUGAAAUAUUUAAAUGCAUUCUGAAUUCUUAUUAUUUCAUAUUAAAAAAAAAAUAAAUAAAAAGAAAAAUGAAAAUAACGUAAUGGUAGUAGAAAAAUGCAACAGACAAAAGAAAUCGUAGAAUCAAAUCCAAAAUAAAAGACAAAAAUUGGAGGGAGGCACUGGUGUUACGUUUUUUAGCUUUCGCAUCUGCGAACUUUCAACAAAUAAGCGAAAUAACGAUCCUCAUUAUUUCGAUUGCUGAAACGAGAACUGAAAGAGAGAGAGAAAGAGAAAGAGAGAAACGGAAAGAGAGCGUGUGUCGUCGUAUGAAAGAGGGUGUAAAAAUAGAAAGAAGAGGGCUGGUGAAAACGUAGGGGUGGCGAAAAAUCGUUGCGUAAUCGAGUCAACGUCGGUAACGAAGGAAAAGAGGGGUGUGAUUACGUGGCUGGAAAAAAACCUGUGCCGUUUUACGAGGGAACCUGGAAACGAUGAACACACGGCUGGAGGAUCACAAGAACCGAGAAAUAGGCUAACAGACAGAAUAAUCCUGCAACACUCGGUAGACAAUAUAACUGUUUUAUCUCGUUGUGUCUUUGUCUUUCUAAAUAUGUAUGUAUACAUAUGCGUAAACAAGAAGUUCAGGUUUUUCUCUUAUCAUUUUUCAUCCGAAAUUAUCGAUGAUUAUGUUAGAACGAGUAAACUUUUUUGGUGUUAUUUUCUUUUUUUUUUUUUUACAAGUUUAUACGAUCGUAAAGAUUUUAAAACUCCUAAAAAGUUCCUUCUUGUCAUUCUAUUUCCGAGAAAACAUUACUUUAGAAUUCACAUCUCCUCGAAUACUUUCGAAAAGUGCCUAAUCUUUCAUUAGUGUUAUUACACAAGAGCAACUUCUGACAAAAGGGAAAGAUACAAACUUAUUUAUAACAUUAAGGUCAAUGAAACAAAAGGAAAGAAAAAGAGUUGGAGAGAGAGAAAGAGAGAGAGAGAGAGACAGAGAGAAGUUCUUUGAAAUGAAUGAGAAAAGAAAGUUCAGAAUACUCGAACUUCCUUUCUCUUUCUUUUUUUCUUUCUUUAUUUCCUUUCUUUCUCUCUUUCUUCUUUUCUUUCUUACUUAGAAACGAAAGAAGAGUGCCGACUCCAAAUAGAGUGCAGGCUACUUUGACCAAAUGUAAUUAAGCCUUGAACUGCUGCAUGGAUCAAACCAUCCCACCUUACUCUUUCUCUUUCUGUCUCUCUUGUUCGUUCCGUUUCCUUUUCUUUAUUCCCUUCUAUCAAAAUGAGCGAAUUCUUUUGCGAGAAAGGGGCUAAGUUUCUGUGCUGCUCUGCAUUUUUUAAAUACAAUUUUCUUUGUUGAACCAAAGGAACUUAAAUGAAAGAACUGUUUCUCUCUCUCUCUCUUUCUCUUUCUUUCUUUCUUUCUUUCUUUCUUUUUCUCUCGUUCUUUCUUCGUCUCGGACGUGACCUUCGUCUUUUUAAUCCAAAUGAUCCAACCGCUGAAGUCAAAUUAAAAGAUUCUUCUUGUAAAAAACCGGCAAAAAGACGAAGAGCGAUGACGAUUUUCACUAAAUGGAACCUCAACGAACGUUCUAAUAAUUUAUUCUAAGAGGAUUCAACGAUUGUUCAGAACUUUAUAUAGAUCUGCCUUUGUAAACUUCGCCAAUUUCUUCUUUUCGUCUUUGGAUUUAUCAAUUAUUCGAUUAGAAUUCUUUUUAUUGUACUCUAAUGCUUUUUCUAAAUCUGAAAUUGUGUGAAUCUAUGAAACGAGAAUAUAAUGUCCGAAAUUAUCGUUAUUGGCGAUCGAUAAAUCCUAAAAAUUCAUAGUGAUCUAAUGAUAAAUUAUUAUUACAAAAGAGGGAUGAUAUAACUGAUCUCGAGUUAUUAGAAUAAGCCGAUAUAUUCGAAUAUUCGAAAUUACAAGCUUGGAUCGGAUCGAUAAUAUUUUUCGAGUUCGAAUCGAGAUCCCGAAAAUUUGUCAAUAUAUAAAUAUAUUCAUGUACCUAUUAUUUCCAGACCCAAUUUGUAAUUUGAUAUCGAUUUAAUUCAUAAUAUAAUUUUUCCAUCUAGUCUUUAAAUUAUGAUUUACAAUCUUUUUUACAUUUAAACUUUUAAAUUACGAUAUCACAGUCUAAUCAGAUGUAAGAAUUUCUAAGAAAGAAAAAUAAUCGAGUCCUGAAUCGCAAAAUGGUUUGUGUCGAUAAAUUUUUCGUAUUUCGAUCAGACCCGUGCCAAUCAUUAUUUAAUCCGAUCCAAAAUUGGAGUACUCGUAAUUUCGAGUACCCGAACAUCCUUAAUUAUUAGCUCGCAUUGAUCAGCUAAAGAUCAAAAGGUGAUGAAGGAAGAUUAAAAAUAAUUUUGAUUGUUACUUCUUAGAAGCAGCAGCCAUCAGAUUCUUUCAUUACGCCGUUCCACUUAACGAAAUUUCAAAGAGAAGAUAAGAAAAAAAGAGAACGUCGUUUUUCGGUCUAUUGCAUAGCAAGAUAUCUCUCUUUCUUUCUCUCUCUCUCUCUCUCUCUCUCUCUCUCUCUCUUUCUCUCCCCCUGUUUCUCCCUCCCUCUUACUUGAACGGAGCCGAAUCGUUUAGUAUUUCUCGGCUGAUUAGAUCCGAGCAGACGAUCGUAGGAAAUUGCUGGAGACAUUUUCUCCUAGCAAAGGAAGAGAAAGAAAGAAAGAGAGAGAAGAGAGAAAGAGAGACCGGGAACGAAUCGCGUGUUAGCUUUCUUUCACCGAACCGUCUCAAGGAAAAAGGAAGUUUUCUACCUAAGUAAGGAUUCCUCGGGAAAUUGUCGUGGGAUCCGGCGACAUCUCAUUUCGAAAUCGAGCUAGUCACCAGGCAUUCUCGAGUACUCGACGGGGAAGAGAGAAAGUAAGAAAGAACAUAAUAUUCUCAAGGGUAUAUCGACUAGCACGUUUGAUCGGAGAACUGGAUCUUGAAAGAAGAAGACCACUAAAGAAAUCCUCAGAGAAUCAACAGAGCUGGGAAAACGUUGCUUUUUUUUACUGCAAUCAACUGCAAAGGCUUUUUAAUAUCUUUAAAUUUCAAGAUUGUGAUCAUAAGAUUGCUGUCUUCCUUUAUCUCUUUCCACUAAUAUUUUAAUACCAAUAUUUAAAAAUUAUUAAACAACUACGUGUUUCAGUAAUUAAGAAAAAGGUUUCAGUAAGUGAAAAAUCGUAGAACAAUAAUAUUUCUGAUAAAAUAAGUCGGUCAAAUUGACGAAUGAAAAUUUCAUUGAAAGGUUAUAGACGAAUGAACGUUAUCAAAUCACUGGCGGGAAAUUCGAAUAGGGGUGAGGGACCCGGUAAACGGAUCGGCAUAAUUUACGAGCUCGGACGCAAACGCAUCUCAUUCCGAUCGCACCUGUUCGAUAGGUGGAAGGGUAAUUUAUUAGCCUGUGCACAAUCCCAAUUCGACGUAAGGACAAUAGACCGUACAGACUGAUAAUGGCAUAUGCAAUCAUCGAGAGGAUAGCGAGCAUCGGCCAUGUUGUCACUCACAAGAUGGCGACUGAUCGUUAAUUUGAUAUUCAUAAACUCAUAGAAACGAAUCUAACAAAAUCAACUUGAUAUUUAUGUACAUAUUACGAUAAAUUAGAUAUCCGUGAAAUUAAUUUAUACGAAUUUAUAAUUUCGCUUUAUUUAUCAUAAUCACGAAAUAAUUAUUUGAAUGAGUACUCGAACGUGUACUUUUAUCGCCAUAUUGGAAAUAUAUAAUUACUGUAUCUACAUGAGAGACAAAAAACCAAUCAUUAAUAAAGACGUUGAUUAAAAUCCAAUUCUUUUUCCACACGCGAAAGAGAUUACUUCUCGCUUUGCUUAGAGACAGUGCCACGAGAGGUUCAUAGAAUUAGUGCAGGUCGCACGAAAGUGCAGCGGCUUUCCGGUAACAAGAGAGAGAGAGAGAGAGAGCGUUAGCCUAGAAACAGUAGUGGUUAGCAGAAGGAGCACGAGAGUAGUAGAACUCUGCUAGCGCGAUAACUUCGUUAAUGCACACAUGUCGUGUCUAAUGAGUUAUAAUCAGUCGAGCACCGGCUGAGUGUAGUUUAAUGGUUUGUUCGCUCGCAUUAGGCCCUACUAUCACCCUCUCACUUUCUCUCUCUCUCUCUCUCUCUCUCUCUCUCUGCCUUUCUCAUCUGCUUAUCUCUCUCUUCUCUCUCUUUAUCUUAAAUUCGCAUGAAAGCGUACUACUUUUGAGCUUAUAUAUAGAAUAACUUGCUCUCCGUUACCUCAACGAAAUUCAAUGAACGUGGUUUUCUCUCUCUCUCUCUCUCUCUCUCUCUCUUUCUCUCUCUCUCGCUCUCGCUCUCUCUCGCUCUCUCUUGCUCUCUUUCUCUCUCUUUCUCUCUCUCUCUCUCUCUCUCUCUCUCUCUCUCUCUCUCUCUCUCUCUCUCUCUCUCUCUCUCUGUCGAGUUUGUUCACUUAACAAGCACGAAAUAUACGGUCGGAUGUUGCAUUGAAUUUUCGAAUUUUUUCGAUAGGAAAAGACAGAGAGAGAGAGAGAGAGUACGUGACCAGAGUCUACAGUAUGUACGUAUACCUACCUCUCGUUAUAUUUAAUAACGAAGUCCACUUUUAAUAACGAACUUUACGUAUACUAUGUACAAGAGUAUUAAAAUGAACAUAUCCGUUUUGCUGCAAAAUGAUAAUGAUACGAAAAGGAAUCUUCUCUCUCUCUCUCUCUCUCUCUCUGUUUCAUUUUAUAUAUGUAGAUACAAUAUACCGUGAAAAUUAAAAUCGGUUAGAAAUCAUUGAUAAGAACACCGUGUACAUUUAUUCGUUCGUAACAGUUUUAUCAACUGAUUCGUAUAUGGAAAAUAAACGUAACGAGUGUGAAAGCUAUUCGUGUUUUUUAUCAGCGAUAAAUGAUACGCAUGAACAAACAACCAGUUAAUUAAAUUCGCCAUCUAUCCCCCACUCUUCCGUAUACAAUUUUUUUUCUUGUUUCCACAUAAACACAUAUAUAUACACGUAUGCACCCACGCACUCACCCACAUCCGCACGCACAUAUGUACGUAUCGGAGCGAUGAUCGUCGAAUCGCAAAAUUUCAACGGUCUCCGAACGAAACGAUUUAUUUUUUAAUCGAUUAAUCGUACAAAAAGUUGUACGAGACAUCUUGUAAAUUUAUUAAGUAUACAUGUAUACCGCUUUUUUCCUUUUUUUUUAAUUAAAUGACUUUUUUCAAUAACCUUUUUUUUAACUAACCAAAAUAUUCUAAAAUUGUUAACUGUAUAUAAAGAAACUAGGUACACGAAAAAUUAAAUGCAAAAUCGUUUGUUGUUAUAAUAAUGAUAAUAAAUGUAACAUUUAUUAAAUUUUUUCUUAGCUUUACCGUUUUCUCUCUCUCUCUCUCUCUCUCUCUCUCUCUCUCUCUCUCUCUCUCUUUCUCUCUGUUUUUCGGUACCUCUCCUUUCCUUUCUCUUUCAAGAUUACAACCCUAGAGCCGACCUAAUUUCGCAACAAACAAUCUCAAUCUGACAGAAGUUCCUGAGACUCGUUACAACUGUUGCCGCCACAUGUUUGCUUUGUCCAAGCUCGAUAAUUUAACGGGACGCUCUAAUUAGAUCUCGAGGUAUUCCGUGAUAUUAGGAUGAAAGAGAGAGAGAGAGAGAGGGAGAGGGAGAGGGAGAGGGAAAGGAAGGAAAUGAAGGAGACAAAGAGAAAGACACAAUUUCCCCAUAUAUUGUCUCACAGAUUCUGAAAUGUAAAUUUUGGAUUGUGAUGUGAUCACGUGCUAGACUACUAGAUAACACACUUCACAAAACUAAUAAGACGCACUUUCUGAACUUACUGCUUUUUCCAUAUAUAACAUAUUAUUCUCGAAUAAUUAAUUUCAUUCUACCUCUCUCUCUCUCUCACACACAAAUAAACACACAACCACGUAUACUCACUCUCAUCACGUGUUUCCCCUCUCUCUUCAAAUAAACAUUAUUUCUAAUCUUAAACAAAUCGUUUCUACUUAAAUAAUUUAUCUAACACAGUUUACCGACACAAUCCUCUUUGCGGGCAAGGUGAAAUGUUUAUUUUCAAUUUAAAUUUUUGAAUGCGAGAUAAUAAUUCACCUGCAAGUGGAAGAUAAUGUGCCACAUCUAGCUCUGUCAUGUGAUCCUGAUACAAAACCUGGUUUGCGGGAAAAUUGAAUGCUUCAUCGAAGCUCUCUGAAUUUUGAACAGGAGAAAAUAACUUACCUGGAGGUGGCAGGAUUUCACGUGCCACCUCUAGCUCUGUCAUGUGAUCCUGAUACAAAACCUGGUUUGCGGGAAAAUUGAAUGCUUCAGCGAAGCUCUGAAUUUUGAACAGGAGAAAAUAACUUACCUGGAGGUGGCAGGAUUUCACGUGCCACCUCUAGCUCUGUCAUGUGAUCCUGAUACAAAACCUGGUUUGCGGGAAAAUUGAAUGCUUCAGCGAAGCUCUGAAUUUUGAACAGGAGAAAAUAACUUACCUGGAGGUGGCAGGAUUUCACGUGCCACCUCUAGCUCUGUCAUGUGAUCCUGAUACAAAACCUGGUUUGCGGGAAAAUUGAAUGCUUCAGCGAAGCUCUGAAUUUUGAACAGGAGAAAAUAACUUACCUGGAGGUGGCAGGAUUUCACGUGCCACCUCUAGCUCUGUCAUGUGAUCCUGAUACAAAACCUGGUUUGCGGGAAAAUUGAAUGCUUCAGCGAAGCUCUGAAUUUUGAACAGGAGAAAAUAACUUACCUGGAGGUGGCAGGAUUUCACGUGCCACCUCUAGCUCUGUCAUGUGAUCCUGAUACAAAACCUGGUUUGCGGGAAAAUUGAAUGCUUCAGCGAAGCUCUGAAUUUUGAACAGGAGAAAAUAACUUACCUGGAGGUGGCAGGAUUUCACGUGCCACUUCCAGCUCUGUCAUGUGAUCCUGAUACAAAACCUGGUUUGCGGGAAAAUUGAAUGCUUCAGCGAAGCUCUGAAUUUUGAACAGGAGAAAAUAACUUACCUGGAGGUGGCAGGAUUUCACGUGCCAUCUCUAGCUCUGUCAUGUGAUCCUGAUACAAACCCUGGUUUGCGGGAAAAUUGAAUGCUUCAUCGAAGCUCUGAAUUCUGAACAGGAGACAAUAACUUACCUGGAGGUGGCAGUGUUUCACGUGCCACCUCUUGCUUUGUUAUGGGAUCCGGAUGCAAAUGUAUAGUAAUAACAAGUUUCAUGGUAAUGAUUUAUCGUAGGUGGGCGGAUUGAUGAAGAGAGUGAGGGAGAAAGAGGAAGUUAGUGUGAGAGAUAAAGAGAGAGAGAGAGAUAGAGAAUUAUCAGGAACUCUUCGCAGAUAGGAAAGUACGUGGAUUGGGGUUAUGUGAAGGGAUGGCUUAGCGUGUGCCACAGCAAAUGACGCAUCCACGCAACCUGGAAGCCUUUCUCUGCAACCUAUAUUAAGCCGUAAUCUUGGGGAAUAUGAUAGGCGACACACUGUCAUUCCCUCCUAACGUUACUGUACCUAAGUCUACUCAUCCCUUUCCUUGUACCAACUUUUACCCCAUCUGCCAUACAUUUCUCAGGCUCUCUGGCAAAGUUAGUUAGAUCUAUAUGUGUAUAUUUAUACGUUAGAGAAUAUCUCCAUACGAGCCAAUUUUAGAUGUUACUUCUCUCUCUCUCUCUCUCUUUCUUUCUUUCUCGAGCUCUCUAGCUUUACUGUCCUAUCUUCAGUUAUAGGAGUUAAUAUUUAAUACGAAUUUUCAAAUUCACUUUAUCUUUCUUUUUCUCUAUCUCUGUCUCUUUUUGAUCUUUACACUGUAACAGUUAAACUUAUCAAUAUUAGAUUGAAACUUUU